RNAcentral lists this ribosomal RNA (253 nucleotides) under uncultured bacterium. Its description in RNAcentral is "partial 16S ribosomal RNA". It matches the Rfam family "Bacterial small subunit ribosomal RNA", at positions 524 to 776 of the family's 1533-position model. The record is from RNAcentral.
UACGAAGGGGGCUAGCGUUGUUCGGAAUUACUGGGCGUAAAGCGCGCGCAGGCGGCUAUCCAAGUCAGUGGUGAAAGCCCGGAGCUCAACUCCGGAACUGCCAUUGAAACUGUUUAGCUGGAGUAUGAGAGAGGUGAGUGGAAUUCCCAGUGUAGAGGUGAAAUUCGUAGAUAUUGGGAAGAACACCGGUGGCGAAGGCGGCUCACUGGCUCAUUACUGACGCUGAGGAGCGAAAGCGUGGGGAGCAAACAGG